AAUUAAAUAAUAAUAAUACCUUUUGAAAUAAAAUAUCAUUUUUAGUUAUGCAUUAUUGUUUCUGUGAAUGUGUAUCUCUCGGAAAUUUUUAUAAGCUAAGUUUAUGAUAGGAAACUAAUUAAGGGAGAAAAUGAUAUUAAAAUUCUAAUAUAGAAAGUAUGAGAUUUUAACACGUGGUUUCUCAGUAGUACAGGCAAAAUGGUUAAAAUUUUGUGACUUUCCAAAGUCCACAUUUUUUCAUUGUAGAAGCUUUUGUUACGUUAUAACACCUAUUGCAUCAAGGUUGUUGUUAGUUACUAAUCUUCACUCAAUAAAUUUAAAUUAUUUAGGUGAAUUUUUUUUUUAAUUAAAUUAGAGCAUUUUCGAUGAAAGCUCUGUCUAUUUAUAACCUUCUUGUGAAUUGAUUCAUAAUUUCAUAUCAAGACAAGCGAGCGAAAAUAAUAAAAACAUACUAAUACGUACGUAGAGAGUCGACAUAUGACCUAAUGGACCUGGUCCAGUCGAUUUAAUUUCCCACCUUCCCUCUAUCCUUUGUAAGUUGUAACACGUCCAAGGAAGCUAUUAUUUAUUUCAGUUUCGGUAUAUAUCUUCUUUAUAUACAUGUCUCGAACAACUUGACAACGAGCAACUACAAGUUAAUUUUCGGACAGGCCAGAAAUGGAGAAACGCCGGUGGAAUCAGAGAAAGACGAACUAUGCGUCUUGUUCCGAAGAGGUGACUAGCAUCGAGUGGAAAGCUGUGACUAUGUCAAAAGAAGAAGAAGAUCUCAUUUUUCGGAUGUAUAAACUUGUUGGUGACAGGUGGUCGUUGAUAGCCGGCAGGAUCCCGGGGCGUACGCCGGAGGUGAUAGAGAGGUACUGGCUUAUGAAACACGGCUUCUUUUUUGCAAAUUGAUGAAGACAGCUUGUUGUUUAGUUAAUAACGAUCAGUGAAGUUUGUUGUGUUUCUAUAUCUUCCAAGGAAGACAAAAACAAAAACAUUCGUAUUUCUUGUUUAACCGAUCGUGUUUUUUCCUGAAGUAUAAUUAAAAUUGUAGUUGAAAAUUGUUUAUUAUGACGCAAUUUAUGUUUCAGAAGAACUCAGACGUACGUAUUAUAUAAAUGAUUAUGAAGAAUAUUUCACAAAACGAAGUUUUAUUUCAAAACCACAACUUUUAGGUUUCAAAACCACUAAUUCGUUUGAUUUUUUUUUUCUGUCUUCUGAUAUGUUGGAAUUUUAGGGUUUGUGUGGUAAAAGACAUUUACUGGUAAUAGCGAAAUUUUAAGCUUUCGAUUUUGAAGUUCUAGUUCUCUACUUCCUUUUUUAUUUUAUUUUUAAACACAAAUACAAAUUACCAAAAAUAAAUCUGCAGUUGAAUUCAUUUUAAGGAAACAGAGACUUCAAAAGAAAAAGAAAAAAAAAGAUCGAGAUUUAAAAACUUGCUUUUUCAGGCCCAAUAAUUAGCAAAUUUAUACAGUACUGUUUGCAUUUUGCAUCAAUAAAAUUCAUGUCAUCCUGUCUUUCAGCUCUGUGUCUUAUCUUCUUUUAGGUUAAUGUAAUUAAUUGUCUUACUCCGAACAAGUGAAACUAAAC
Non-coding RNA from Camelina sativa (false flax), 1572 nucleotides. The record is from RefSeq and is a predicted model, not a curated record. Lineage: Eukaryota; Viridiplantae; Streptophyta; Magnoliopsida; Brassicales; Brassicaceae.